ACAGGAGGAUGACCUAUGAAAUGACAGCCACUUCCACACCAAAUAUGUCUGUCAUUUCUGUAGGCCAAUAUUCUGA
Molecule: non-coding RNA, 76 nt
Organism: Xenopus laevis (African clawed frog)
Lineage: Eukaryota; Metazoa; Chordata; Amphibia; Anura; Pipidae
Source: Rfam